This 8403-nucleotide long non-coding RNA is filed under the name Nicotiana benthamiana. RNAcentral describes it as "long non-coding RNA (NBEN_LNC003916)". The record is from RNAcentral. Lineage: Eukaryota; Viridiplantae; Streptophyta; Magnoliopsida; Solanales; Solanaceae.
CCUUUUUAGGGUUCUUUCUCCUAGUAUUUAUAGCUAGGAAAUCUGUCAGCUGGCGCCAAGGAUUUGAGACCACAUAGAGGGGACGCCCUCGUGAGGACGGCCAGGCCGUGGCCUUAGUUGUCAAAUUGGANNNNNNNNNNNNNNNNNNNNNNNNNNNNNNNNNNNNNNNNNNNNNNNNNNNNNNNNNNNNNNNNNNNNNNNNNNNNNNNNNNNNNNNNNNNNNNNNNNNNNNNNNNNNNNNNNNNNNNNNNNNNNNNNNNNNNUGGCCAUACCAUUUAUUAGCCAUAAAUAGACUUUAAUAAAUGCGUCGAUCUCAUUCAUUAUCAUGAGGUCAGGUUUUGACCCAUACAGAUAGUCCCUCUUCUUAUUGAGGUCGGGCUCGGGCUGAGCUCGAUGAUCGAAUUCCGACAAUAACCGUGGUUGUUUACGUGAUGAGGGCGAUCGUAACCCAUAGUUCCUCGAAAAUGGCCGUAACAAUUUUUUACUUGGGAGGUGGUCGUAGCCGUUUUUGAUUUAGAAAUGGCCGUAGCCAUUUUUAACUUCUGAGAUGGCCGUAGCCAUUUUUGAUUUGGAAAUGGCCGUAGCCAUUUUUACUUCUGAGAUGGCCGAGGCCAUUUUUACUUCGGAUAUGGCCGUAGUCUUUUGAUCUUUUAGCGGUGGCUAUAGCCGUUUUUUGAUUUAGAAAUGGCCGUAAUCGUUUUAUCUGUUGGAGAUGGCCGUAGCCAUUUUUACCUUCUGAGCUGGCCGUAGCCAUUUUUAUUUGGAGAUGGCCGUAGCCAUUUUUACUUCUGAGAUGGUCGUGGCCAUUUUUACUCCGGAGAUUGCCGUAGCCUUUUUUACUUCGGAGAUGGUCGUAGCCUUUUAUACGUGCAUGGGGAGAUCAUUUUUGAUUUGGAAGUGGUCGUAGCCAUUUUACUUCUGAGAUGGUCGUGGCCAUUUUUACUUCGGAGAUGGCCGUAGUCUUUUAUACGUGCAUGUGGAGAGUACGAUCACGCUUAUCGCGUUAUAAGGGGACCAUCAUACGCAAGGUGACGCUUGGGGCGUGCCUAUGGCACCUUGGGGUUGCCACAACUGUUUCAUAGGGGACGUACAAGUUGAAUGACCGUUCAAUGGUUUCUGUCAUGAUGGUUCCCGUUACCGUAGGUCUGAGCCGUUUUGCGGUUGGUCGGGUAGUUAAUUGUGACCUUUGGGAUUCGUGAGGGUCAUUCACUUUUUGCCUAUAAAUAAGGGGUUGUAUUGCUCAGUUCUCACUUUUCCGAUAUCUGUCUAAGUGGAACCCUGAGAGACAAGCUUUCAGAUUAUCUGGUUUUUCACCCCUUGUUGAUUCAUUCUCCGUUUUUUUCGUCGGAUCUUCAUAUUCUCUUAUUUUUCCGGUGAAUCUUACCAUCUUCUUUUGGUUAUAUUAACAAUGGAGAACAGUCCCCGUUCCGAUGUCGCUCCGGUGGCGGUUGUGGCGGAAGAGGGUCCAGUCAUUCUUGUCGGAUCUUCGUAUUCUCUUAUUUUUCCGUGGAAUUUUACCAUCUUCUUUCCGUUAUAUUGAUAAUGGCGAGCAGUUCCCGUUCCGGUGCAGUUCCGGUGGUGGUUGCGGCGGCAAAGGGUCCAUCUACGGUGGUGGGAGCCCCUGAUUCGCCGACCGUUGAUCGGUUCCCGUCGGUGACCGACAUCCUUUCCCUUCCCGGCGAUCCAACGACCGAUUUUACCAACCCUGAGCGAGAAGAUCAAGUAGACGUGGCUCCAUUGAUGGGGGAGGUUGGCUUAGCUCAACUGAGGGAGCAAUGUGAGAUUCCUCGCUUUGCCGACAUCAUCUUGGCCAGGAGCGGCGACAGGGUGCAUGUCGACCGAGGGUACUACGUCUUCUACUCCUACCCUUUCAGGCUUGGAUUUGGGCUUCCUCUCCCCUUGUUGGUGAGGAAUCUUUGCCGCUAUUACAGGGUAUGCCCUGGUCAGCUCGUCCCUCGGGUGCAUGUUGACCACCGAGGGUACUGCGUCUUCUACGCCUACCCUUUCAGGCUGGGAUUUAGGGUUCCUCUCCCCUUGUUGGUGGUGGAUCUUUGCCGCUAUUACCGGGUAUGCCCUGGUCAGCUCGUCCCUUCCUGUUACAAAUUAUUGGUGAUGCUGAUUAAAUAUGCGGAGUUGGCAUGGAGGGAAGUUACACUUGGACAAGUGUUGACUCUAUACGCUCCUCAGAGGGUACGUGGCACUAUAAUCCGGUUGGUUCCUCGUGGGACCAACGGCUUGACUGCGGAGCUCGAUGAUAAGGUCGCUACUCGUCCCUUCGAGUAUUUCUUUUACAUUAGGACUGAGCACCUGGUGACGUGUGCCACUGAUUUCCCGGCGGAGUCCAACCAUGCACGUAAGUUUCUCUUAUGCUGGCCUUGAUUUCUUUUGGGCUGAGAGUUCUGCUUUAUUUUUGUACGUAACGAUCUUCUUUUUGUGUCGUAGCGGGAGGUGCGCCACCGGCGCCAAUUUCAGGCAUCCGCGAGUGGGUUGAGGCCGUUUGUACGUAACGAUCUUCUUUUUGUGUCGUAGCGGGAGGUGCGCCUCCGGCGCUGAUUUCAGGCAUCCGCGAGUGGGUUGAGGCCGUGCUCCCUGUUACAAGGGGGAUUCGCACAUGGGCGUCUUUCUGGGAGGCCCAUGGCCGCAGGCCGGCUGCUUGUAAGAAUCUGUUUGUUGAUUAGAUUUUGAUUUUUAAAAGCUUUUUCUUCGUAAUCCUUAGCUCCGCUGACCUAACCCUUUUUCUUUGGUUGGUUAGAACAACCACGGCGCAGGAGGGCUCCUAAGCUUGCUUUCCGCAGGCCGGGGGCGAAUGCCCGAAUGAUCACAAUGCCGGCACCUUGUCCGGUUCUGAGGGCGACUUCGGUGGAGUCUUCAGCUGCACACUCUCCGGUACGGCCCGUGCCCCGAGUUGGGGAGUCUCCAGGGGUCGUACAUUCAAGGACGGAGCAAUCGCCGAAUGGAGAUGAAGAAGAAGAUGAGAGGUCGCUGGCUCGGCGCAGGGUGGUGUUCACCUCAACCCUCCCGGUGUUGAUCAGUUUAGAUUCUUCGCCGUCAGUGGAGGAGGGGGGUGUAGCGGACCUCGCACCAGAAGGUAAGCGCUCUCUGGGGGUUGCCCCGGUUGGCUUAGGCCAAGGUCAUACGGUCGCUUCUGCGGCUCAAGUUUCUAUUCCUGUUACUGCGAGGGAAGGUGGUUCCUCAACAACUGUUUUGGUAGAGACGGCAGCCGUCGACGCCACGGCGAAUAUGGGCGCGUCGACGUCACGGCGAAUAUGGGCGCGUCGACGUCUCCGACGGCGAAAGCCUCAACUUCUAGGGCGGCAGGAGAAAAGGGCGUUUUCAGGAGAGUGGGAUGAUUCGGAGUCUGAUAUGGAUCCCGAGAACAUCCGACUUGCUCAGGAGGGAUAUACCCGCUCGGCCGUGCAGGGCGAGGGGGAUUAUCGUUAUUUGGAGAUUUCUGACGGCCUGAACUUGAUGCUCGAGGAGAAGAACCUAGUGACGAUGUUCGGGGUCCUGUGCUCGGAAGCGGAGAGCAUGUCCGUGAGGGGCAUUUCGGACGUCGGACUGAUGGGCGAGGUGACCGCCCUAAGUAUAAAGGUAUGUGCAAAAAACUUUGGUUUGUUCUCUUUCUUAGCAUGUCUUCUCGUGCUAACCUUCACUUUGUUCGUCGUAGACAUUUUUGCUGGAAGUGGAGAGCAUUAGGCCGGCUAAUGCUCGUUCGGUGCUUUUUGCGCGGCUAUUGAGGAAGUAUCGCCGCUACCGUGAUCGGUGACGUGGCUUGCGUGAGCGUAAGGAACGACCCGCGGAACCGGGAGUUGGUAAAAGAGCUAGCACGGAGGAAGCUUCACUUGCAACAGACCUUCAGCAGGAUAUCCACUCUUGAGGAGCAGCUCCGCCAGGCGAACGAAGGGGUGGAUAUUGAGAGGUGGGCGGCUGCGGAGAGGGAGCGCCAAAAUCUGGUUGCAGCGGCGGAGGCCGCUGAGGCUUAUACUAGGCAGGUGGCUACCCUGGAAUCUGAGGCCGCCACUUCAAGGAGGCAGGCGGAGGACGCCCUGGCGAGGGUUGAGGCACUGCAGGCUCUUAACCGUGCCCAGGAAAGGGAGCGUGGAUUAGAGAGGGCUGACGCUGCUUUUCGAGAACGAUCGUUAGAGGGGCAUAUUGCCGUCUACGAUCGGGAUGCUCGUGCUGCGGCGGAUCGGAUUGCGGCCUCCAAGGCCGAGAACCAGCGCCUGAAGGAUCAGGCCGCUGCUUUUGGUCCUGCUCGCGAGCUUUGGACGUAUGCCGAUGCUCAGCUCCAUAUGUACAAGCUGUGUGGGAGGCUGGCAUCGUGUCUGAAGCCACUUACGAAGAGGCACGCCAAAAGGCUCGUGAAGCCCGCCUUGACUGUGGUUUUGACCCUUCUACCCCUGGGGGAGAUGAUGGCGCUGAGGGCGCUGAUAAUGCCGAGGGGGGCGCUGGGGUGCCGAGUGAAAAAAUUUAUAAUAUUUGUUUAGUUUUUGUUCUCUUUUUUCUUUUUUUUCUUUGCCGGCCUUGGGCCUAUGUAAUUGGGGGUAACCCCGUAUAAAUAUUGUGAAUAUAUGAGGUUUUCUUCUUUUUUGUCUGUUUUGUGUUGAAUACAUUAUAUUUUUUUUUGUGCCCGUUUGCAAGGGUUUUGCUUUAGAGUUCUUCUGGCGGGUAUGUUAAUAGUCUCAACCGGUUAAGUGAUCUCGACCAUUGUAUGACCGACCCUUCGCCUUAAGAGGCGAUUGAUGCGGAUGGCCUUGGCCAUAGAUAGACGCUCUUGGUCAUCACCUUCCUCCACUUGGGAGAGUGGGUAGUAGCCGUGUCUGGGCAGUGGUGGCACAUAACCUUAGACUCAGUUAGGGCUUAGUUGAACUACUGGCCGUGGUAAGGUAAAGCACGGCCUCGUAAUUCGACUUGUUGGGUUCUGGUUCGCCUCACAGUUGAAUUCUUUUGUACUUCACAGUGGUGGAAGCAUUUGGACCGACACCUACUCUAACUUGUAAUCGGACUUUUGGGUGAACGCACGUAGCCUGAGAUGUCGUUCAACCGUAGUUGAACCUUUGUAACUUUCGAAGGCGCGUAGUCUAAUUUCCAGUUCGACCGUAGUUGAACUUUUUGUGUGAAGGCACAUAGCCUGUACUGCCGUUCAACCGUAGUUGAAUUUUUAUGUGAUGGCGCACAGCCUAAGUCAAAGGCGUAUACUCUGAGUCUGAGUUCAACCGUAGUUGAACUUUCUGUAUGAAGGGACAUAGCCUGUACUGCCGUUCAACCGUAUUUGAGUUUUAUUUGAAGUUUAUGUGAAGACGCACAGCCUGAGUCGAAGGCGCAUAGCCUGAGUCCCAAUUCAACCGUAGUUGAACUUUCUGUGUGAAGGCACAUAGCCUGUACUGCCGUUCAACCGUAGUUAGAGUUUUUAUGUGAAGGCGCACAGCCUAAGUCCCAGUUCGACCGUAGUUGAACUUUCUGUGUGAAGGCACAUAGCAUGUACUGCCGUUCAACCGUAGUUGAGUUUCUAUAAUAUUAGAAGGCAUGUAUCCUGUGUCGAAGGCGCAUAGCCUGAAUUGCUGUUCAACCAUAAUUGAACUUUUAUAAUAUUUGAAGGCGCGUAGCCUGUGUCGAAGGCGCAUAGCCUGAACUGAAGGCGCAUAGCCUGAAUUGCCGUUCAACUGUAGUUUUGAAGUCAAAGGCGCAUGGCCUGAAAUGCCGUUCAACCGUAGUUGAACCAUUCUAAUACUAAAAGUUGAAGGCGCAUGGCAUGAACUGCCAUUCAACCGUAGUUAAACCAUUGUAAUAUUUGAAGUCGAAGGCACAUAGCCUGAGUCCCAGUUCAACCGUAGUUUAUGUGAAGGCGCGUAGCCUGUAUUGCUGUUCAAUCGUAGUUGAACUUUUAUAAUAUUUGAAGGCGCGUGGCUGUCCAAGGUGCAUAGCCUGAGUCCCAAAUCAACCGUAGUUGAACCUUUAUGUGAAGGUGCGUAGUCUGUAUUGCCGUUCAACCGUAGUUGAACUUUUAUAAUAUUUGAGGGCGCGUAGCUUGUGUCGAAGGCGCAUAGCCUGAGUCGUAGUUCAACUGUACUUGAACCUUUAUGUGAAGGCGCGUAGCUCAUAUUGCCAUUCAAUCGUAGUUGAACGUUUAUAAUAUUUGAAGGCGCGUAGCCUGUGUUGAAGGCGCAUAGCCUUAGUCCCAGUUCAAUCGUAGUUGAAUCCUUAUAAUAUUUGAAGGCGCGUAGCGUGUGUCGAAGGCGCAUAGCCUGAACUGAAGGCGCGUAGCUUGAAUUGCCGUUCAACCGUAGUUGAACUUUUAUAAUAUUUGAAGGCGCGUAGCCUGUGUCGAAGGCGCGUAGCCUGUGUUGAAGGCGCAUAGCCUGAACUGAAGGCGCAUAACCUAAAUUGCCAUUCAACCAUAGUUGAACUUUUAUAAUAUUUGAAGGUGCGUAGCCUGUGUCGAAGGCGCAUAGCCUGUAUUGCUAUUCAACCGUAGUUGAAUCUUUAUAAUAUUUAAAUGCGCGUAGCCUGUGUCGAAGGUGCAUAGCCUGAGUCCCAGUUCAACCGUAGUUGAAUCCAUAUAAUAUUUGAAGGCGCGUAGCUUGUGUCAAAGGCGCAUAGCCUGAAUCCCAGUUCAACCGUAGUUGAAUCCUUAUAAUAUUAGAAGGCGCGUAGCCUGUGUCGAAGGCGCAUAGCCUGAACUGAAGGCGCAUAGCCUUAAUUGACGUUCAACCGUAGUUGAACUUUCAUAAUAUUUGAAGGCGCGUAGCCUGCGUCGAAGGCGCAUAGCCUGAAUUGCCGUUCAACCAUAGUUGAACUUAUAUAAUAUUUGAAGGCUGCGUAGCCUGUGUCGAAGGCGCAUAGCCUGAACUGAAUGCGCAUAGCCUGUAUUGCUGUUUAACCGUAGUUGAAUCUUUAUAAUAGUUGAAGGCGCGUAGCCUGUGUUGAAGGCGCAUAGCCUGAGUCUCAGUUCUACCGUAGUUGAAUCCUUAUAAUAUUUGAAGGCGCGUAGACUGUGUCGAAGGCGCGUAGCCUGUGUCGAAGGCGCAUAGCCUGUGUCGAAGGCGCAUAGCCUGAGUCCCAGUUCAACCGUAGUUGAACCUUUAUGUGAAAGCGCGUAGCCGGAGCUGACGUUCAACGCAAUUGAAUCUUUGUGAUUUUUCCCACAUAACCCGCUUCGUGCUGGGGGUUGGGAUUUGCUUCUGGUUUCAGNNNNNNNNNNNNNNNNNNNNNNNNNNNNNNNNNNNNNNNNNNNNNNNNNNNNNNNNNNNNNNNNNNNNNNNNNNNNNNNNNNNNNNNNNNNNNNNNNNUUCAGAUCUUUCCUAGCUUGCAUUUGUGGUUUUUCUUGCCCGGCUCGCUCGUAUUGCCGAAGUGCUUUGAGGUACGCUUUUAUGCUGUCCUCCUUUUCGGUAGGGUCCCAUGUGGAAAGAAAAGGGGUGAGGUACCUUGAGCUCAUUCUCCAUAGAGACGGGAGAUCUGCUUCUUCUUCUUCUUCCCUUCGCUCGAAGACGAGAGGGUGUGGAAGCAAGGACUUCCCGAGUUUUGUGACUUCCUAUGACCCGAUAAGCCGCUUGGGCUCGUUUGACCUGGGUUGUUCAUUUUUCCUUUCUGGUCUAAGGAUAAACUACGCGACUCUGCUAUGAAAUACCCACAGAUGGCGCCAAUUUAUUUUGCUCAAAGUUUUCAUUUACUUUAGAAGCAUAAAACAAUCAAAAUAAACGGACGGCCAAUCAUAGCUUAUCGUAAUAAAUCCAAACACUAAAGGAAUAAAAUAUAAGAGACACCAGUUAUAGAUUAAAGGGAGGAGGAUGAAGAUCUUUUAUUAAUGAUAUUGGUUUGGUCUGCCUCUCCAUGGCGUAAUAAAUCCAAAGACUAAAGUAAUAAAAUAUAAGAGACACCAGUUACAGAUUAAAGGGAUGAGGAUGUAGAUCUUUUAUUAAUGAUAUUGGUUUGGUCUGCCUCUCCAUGGAGAGGUUCAGAAUCUUACAAUGAUGUAUUCACUCCUCUUUUUGAAAGAGAUGUGAAGAAGAAGAAGAAGCAGCCCCCUUUUUAGGGUUCUUUCUCUUAGUAUUUAUACCUAGGAGAUCUGCCAGCUAGAGCCAAGGAGUUGGGACCACACAGAGGGGAUGCCCUCGUGAGGACGGCCAGGCCGUGGCCUUAGUUGUCAAAUUGGAUAACUACCCGAUAAUCUUGUGAAUAAAUGGCCAUACCAUUUAUUAGCCAUAAAUAGACUUUAAUAAAUGUAUCGAUCUCAUUCAUUAUCAUGAGGCCAGGUUUUGACGCAUACAGGUAUAUUCCCCCACCUCCCCAAAAGAAAAGAAAAAUGAUCUAGUUUGAGUCUCUGGUCAAGCUCCUAUCCAAGAAAAAAGUACAUGAGGGGCAGUGGGCCAGAUCACUUUCAUCUGCCAGGCCAAGCCACGUGUU